UACGGGGGGGGCAAGCGUUGUUCGGAAUUACUGGGCGUAAAGGGCUCGUAGGCGGCCAACUAAGUCAGACGUGAAAUCCCUCGGCUUAACCGGGGAACUGCGUCUGAUACUGGAUGGCUUGAGGUUGGGAGAGGGAUGCGGAAUUCCAGGUGUAGCGGUGAAAUGCGCAGAUAUCAGGAGGAACACCGGUGGCGAAGGCGGUUCUCUGGGCAUGUCCUGACGCUGAGGAGCGAAAGUGUGGGGAGCGAACAGG
Molecule: ribosomal RNA, 253 nt
Filed under: uncultured bacterium
Lineage: Bacteria
Description: partial 16S ribosomal RNA
Rfam family: Bacterial small subunit ribosomal RNA
Source: RNAcentral